UACAGUGGCGUACGGGUGAGUAACACGUGGGUAAUCUACCCUUUAGUGGGGGAUAACGCUGGGAAACCGGCGCUAAUACCACAUAAUCCCGAGAGGGGAAAGCAGCAAUGCGCUGAAGGAGGAGCCCGCGGCCGAUUAGCUAGUUGGGAGGGUAAAAGCCUACCAAGGCGACGAUCCUUAGCUGGUCUGAGAGGAUGAUCAGCCACACUGGGACUGAGACACGGCCCAG
Molecule: ribosomal RNA, 229 nt
Filed under: uncultured bacterium
Lineage: Bacteria
Description: partial 16S ribosomal RNA
Rfam family: Bacterial small subunit ribosomal RNA
Source: RNAcentral